AGGAGUGAUUUGUUUGCAGUAGGAAUACGUUGGCAAGAUGGCACAAAUUUCUUCUUUUUCUUGUUUACACUGGAAGGAAAAAGGCUCUGCAUGCACUCAACUGAUUCUGUACUGUUGGAAAAAAGCAAUGAACAAAUGAAUCUGAACUGCUCUCAUGGCACCAACCUGAGCCUUCUUCAUGUACUCGAGGUGAUCCUGCACAGCAACCUGCAGGUAGGCUGGGACCUGGAAUAUUUCCUGCUGAUGGUCCAUCAGGAAGGACAGCAGGCGUGUGGAAAGCAGCUCAUCCAGGUCCUCCUCCUCUGCACAGCGCAGGACACAGCGGGAAAACGUCUGGAUCAGCUGGAAAAGUUCAGCACAGCUGCAGUGGAGAAAGCUGGGGGAUUUAUUUUCUCCUCUCCACUCCACAGUGCCUCAAAUCUCCCAGUACCAACUUCCAAGUAGGGUCACACAAGGAGGAAGAGUCAUUAUUGUUCCCUCAGCUGAAUUAAUUUCUUAGGGAUUGAACAGAACUUUCAAUUAAAAACACAUAUGGUAAAAGGUGGUAGCAGAAAAAGGCUUAACCUAUAGAAAACUGAACAUACUCACAGGACUGUAGAAUAGGUUCCUGGAAUGGCUUGGGUUGGAGCAGGGACACCUCCCACUGUCCCAGGUGCUCCAGCCUGGCCUUGGGCACUGCCAGGGAUCCAGGGCCUGCCCACCCUCUGAAUAAAGAAUUUCUUCCUACUGCUAAUCUAAACCUGAAUCUUCAAUUGGCCAUCUGGAGACAAGUGAGGUGAUUAAAACCUGCAGAGCCACCCUAAUGCACACCAGGAUUAAACUGGAAUGAGAUGGGCUUUAAGGUCCCUCCCAACCCAAACCAGUCUGGGAUUCUAAAUAGCAGCAGGGUGAGAAAUCAGGCUGAGCAAUCAUCUGCAUUCCUCUAAGCAGAGCUUUUCCUGCCCUUACCAAGGACCUGGUGCCCAUGGCAUCGUGCAGCCGUGGCAUGUCAACGUUGCCACUGAUCCUGGCCAUCAUCCUCAGCAGCAGCUGCAGCUUCCUGCGCCUCGGCGGGGGCAGCAGCAGACAGCAGAUCUGCAGGGCCUCCACUGCAAUUCUCUCCAGGUGAGGCUGCAGGAGAUCUACAAGUUAACCGCAAAGACAGCUGGCAUUAAGAUCUGAACCAGCUUCCAGCAUGUUUCUACCUCAGUAUCACAGAUUUCUUAUUUUUCAGAGUGAUUAUUUAUGUUUCAGAGAAAUCAGCUGUAACACAGAAGAGAGCGUACACUCCUUGUGGUCAUCUUCAACUUCCUUCAUUAUGGUGCAAUAAGGACCACAAUACAAUUAAGGAAUGACCCUAAUUAUUCCCAGAAAAUACAGAACAGAAAAAGCCAUCUCCAGCAGGCAGGUGUGUGCAGAUUCCCUGUCCCCAUCACUUACCUGAGCAGCAAGGCCAAUCACUGACACAUCGAGCUCACACUCCAGAGUUACUACACACAGUUAGCAGAGCUACAGCAGCUUAAACAAUUUAGCCAGCAGAUUUCCUUUAAAAACCCCACAAAUCCAUGCUCUGUGCCUAUCCUAGCAAGAGUGGCAGAGGUGAGGGAAGCAGGGAUUAGUGAGGCCACACAACAAGGCAGUACAGCAUGCUGCAGAGAGCCCUUACUUGUGCCAGCCAACACACAAGGGGAGGGGGGGACAGAGCGUUCUGACAGCUCUGUGCUGCUCCUGCAGAGUCUCUUUUGGAUGCUGAUGGCCACAGAGGGGCUGGCAGUGCCCUGCCCCCGGGGCUGAGGCUGCACUGUGAUCUCAGCACUGGGUCUGUUGAUGGCACUGCAGCUCCUGGAGCUCCUCCUGCCCAGCAGGCUCGGGGAGCGGCGCGGUGCCCGGGGCCCGGGGCUGCCAUCCCACAGCUGCUCAGCCCAGGGACACGGGCCAGGCACUCUGCUGAGGCCCUGGCUCUGGGCUGGGCCACCCCAGCCCAGCUCCACCACUGAGGUCACUCUGUGCUCCUCCAGCAGCUCCCCACUCCUCGUGGUGGUGCUCACACCUCCUCCCCUGAGGGGGGCACGUCCUCCUUUAUCACACACACUUGAAGCAGCAGUUCCAAUUCUUUCCAAGGAGUAACACCUUGUCCUAAAUGCUCCAGGUGGCUCUUGGGCAUUCCUGGCUCCUGCAAGAUUCUGGCAGCUCCCUCCUAUCAGGCUCCCAGCUCUGCCUUGCUGACGUGGCAGUUUGUGCUGCUGCCAUUUCUGUCCGUGCUGGUUUUGGGCUCUCAGCUCCUCUGAGGAAAACCUCCUGGAAGUUUCUCCUUUCUCCUUCUUGUCAGACUCUCUGAGGAGCAGGCUUAGGAGAAGACACUCAGUGGACUUGAAAGAGUUCAAGUGAGGAGGUUUUGAAGGCUGAGGGUCACAUUUCUCCUCUUGGACAGAAUGUUUUCCACUGCCCAGAUCAGGAAUUUGGAUGUAGCCACACAAAACUAUCAGGAAAUGAGAGAGAUGUUAAAGGUGCAAGUGGUGUGAAAAUUAACCAGUUCAGAGGGCUGCUAACUGGGCAGACAAAGUCAAGAUAUUAAUUAAGAAGGCUUUAGUUCAGUCUCAAAGCAAUUUAACAAGGCCAUUGCAACCAACAUGCAAGAACAAAGACAGGUAACACUAAAAUAGUGAGGAGCAGGCAGAACAAGCACAUCUUUUGAAGCUUUUGUUAUUAAAUAUUUAGAAUGUGAGCUGAAACAGCAAUUUAAAUGGGAAAUCAUGAGGCAGAAGUACAUUUUAAUUAACACUAAUACAGGAUGGAGCAGUGAUGAUCCUCCUCACACUGGAGCUCCCACAGGCAUCAGGAGGCCAAGCUCUGCUUUCAAUCACACAUUUGUCCCCCAGCUGAACUCAGAGCUUCCCUGACUGUUUCUAAAUUCAUACAUACCUAAGAUGUUAACAAAGAGCUCAUAGUAUUCAAAAGUAAGCAAGGGCUCAGGAAGACUGAGAAAAUAAUCAGCAACUGUUCUGAACACGUCCCGCUCAAAGCCACUGUAGGUGGCUUGGCUCAUGUCCUUGUUCCUGGGCCCUGAAAAGAGGGGAAGAAAGGAAAUUGACACCAAAAAUCCACAGUCCCACUAGAAAAGAAAUUUCUGAAGAUCAGCCUAAAUUGUUGUUUCACAAGCAAAGAAUGCUAUCAGCAAUCCACAAAUAUUGUAUUUGGCACAAUCUGUAAGCAAAAGCAGUGUAAGAGAUUCCAGGCAGCCACUGAAGAAUUGUGCUCAGUUCUGUUCCACACCAAGAAAAUAAAUAAAGAAAAAUUAA
This is a long non-coding RNA of Haemorhous mexicanus (house finch), 3278 nucleotides long. RefSeq lists it as uncharacterized. The record is from RefSeq and is a predicted model, not a curated record. The transcript is spliced from 2 exons. Lineage: Eukaryota; Metazoa; Chordata; Aves; Passeriformes; Fringillidae.